Molecule: transfer RNA, 103 nt
Filed under: Mycobacteriaceae bacterium
Lineage: Bacteria; Bacillati; Actinomycetota; Actinomycetes; Mycobacteriales; Mycobacteriaceae
Description: tRNA-Leu
Source: RNAcentral
AUAGGUUAGCACCACAGGUUCUGCGGGGGGCACGCGCGGGCACCAGCGGACGGCUAUCAGCGGACUUAAAAUCCGCCAAGUGUCGGUUCGAGUCCGACUGGGG